This 381-nucleotide ribosomal RNA is filed under the name uncultured bacterium. RNAcentral describes it as "bacterial SSU rRNA". It matches the Rfam family "Bacterial small subunit ribosomal RNA", at positions 29 to 416 of the family's 1533-position model. The record is from RNAcentral.
AUUGAACGCUGGCGGAAUGCUUUACACAUGCAAGUCGAGCGGCAGCGCGGGGCAACCUGGCGGCGAGCGGCGAACGGGUGAGUAAUGCAUCGGAACAUGUCCAUGUCGUGGGGAAUAGCCCGGCGAAAGCCGGAUUAAUACCGCAUAUGCCCGAGAGGGGAAAGCCGGGACCGCAAGGCCUGGCGCGAUUGGGUUGGCCGAUGUCCGAUUAGCUAGUUGGCGGGGAAGAGCCCACCAAGGCGAUGAUCGGUAGCUGGUCUGAGAGGAUGAUCAGCCACACUGGGACUGAGACACGGCCCAGACUCCUACGGGAGGCAGCAGUGGGAAUUUUGGACAAUGGGGAAACCCUGAUCCAGCCAUUCCGCGUGAGUGAAGAAGGCC